Molecule: ribosomal RNA, 227 nt
Filed under: uncultured bacterium
Lineage: Bacteria
Description: partial 16S ribosomal RNA
Rfam family: Bacterial small subunit ribosomal RNA
Source: RNAcentral
GAUCCUGGCUCAGGACGAACGCUGGCGGCGUGCUUAACACAUGCAAGUCGAACGAGAAUCUGCGGAACGAGGAUUCGUCCAAGUGAAGCAGAUGACAGUGGCGGACGGGUGAGUAACGCGUGAGGAACCUGCCUUUCAGAGGGGGACAACAGUUGGAAACGACUGCUAAUACCGCAUGACACAUAGAUGUCGCACGGCAUUUAUGUCAAAGAUUUAUCGCUGAAAGA